GCUCAGAUUGAACGCUGGCGGCAGGCCUAACACAUGCAAGUCGAGCGGUAGCACAAGAGAGCUUGCUCUCUGGGUGACGAGCGGCGGACGGGUGAGUAAUGUCUGGGAAACUGCCUGAUGGCGGGGGAUAACUAGUGGAAACGGUAGCUAAUACCGCAUAACGUCGCAAGACCAAAGUGGGGGACCUUCGGGCCUCACGCCAUCAGAUGUGCCCAGGUGGGAUUAGCUGGUAGGUGGGGUAACGGCUCACCUAGGCGACGAUCCCUAGCUGGUCUGAGAGGAUGACCAGCCACACUGGAACUGAGACACGGUCCAGACUCCUACGGGAGGCAGCAGUGGGGAAUAUUGCACAAUGGGCGCAAGCCUGAUGCAGCCAUGCCGCGUGUGUGAAGAAGGCCUUCGGGUUGUAAAGCACUUUCAGCGAGGAGGAAGGGUAAUGUGUUAAUAAGACAUUGCAAAA
Molecule: ribosomal RNA, 460 nt
Filed under: Serratia symbiotica
Lineage: Bacteria; Pseudomonadati; Pseudomonadota; Gammaproteobacteria; Enterobacterales; Yersiniaceae
Description: bacterial SSU rRNA
Rfam family: Bacterial small subunit ribosomal RNA
Source: RNAcentral